GACGAACGCUGGCGGCGUGGAUUAGGCAUGCAAGUCGAACGGUAUCAUCCUUUCGGGGGUGAGAGAGUGGCGAACUGGUGAGUAACACGUAGGUUAUCUACCCUCAAGACGGGGACAACCCAGGGAAACUUGGGCUAAUACCGGAUGUGAGCAACUUUUAGUUGUUUGAAAGGUGGCGUAAGCUGUCGCUUGGGGAUGAGCCUGCGUCCUAUUAGUUAGUUGGUGAGGUAACGGCUCACCUAGGCAAUGAUAGGUAGGCGGCCUUAACGGGUGGUCGCCCCACACUGGGAUUGAGAUACGGCCCAGACUCCUACGGGAGGCAGCAGUCGAGAAUAGUCUACAAUGGUCGGAAGACUGAUAGUGCGACGCCGCGUGAACGAUGAAUCCCUUCGGGGUGUAAAGUUCUUUUAUAUGUGAGCAGUGCUUCUUAUAUUAACAGUAUGGGGAGAGAGAUAUUAGCAUAUGAAUAAGCAACGGCUAACUCCGUGCCAGCAGCCGCGGUAAACACG
This 509-nucleotide ribosomal RNA is filed under the name uncultured bacterium. RNAcentral describes it as "bacterial SSU rRNA". It matches the Rfam family "Bacterial small subunit ribosomal RNA", at positions 28 to 527 of the family's 1533-position model. The record is from RNAcentral.